This 433-nucleotide ribosomal RNA is filed under the name uncultured bacterium. Its description in RNAcentral is "partial 16S ribosomal RNA". It matches the Rfam family "Bacterial small subunit ribosomal RNA", at positions 29 to 507 of the family's 1533-position model. The record is from RNAcentral.
AACGAACGCUGGCGGCAUGCCUAACACAUGCAAGUCGAACGAACCCUUCGGGUCUUGUGGUGCAUGGGUGCGUAACGCGUGGGAACAUGCCCUUAGGUUCGGCAUAACUAUCAGACAGGGGUGACAAUACCGGAUAAUGUCUUCGGCCCAAAGAUUUAUUGCCCUUGGUUGGGCCCGCGUUGGAUUAGCUAGUUGGUAGGGUUAAAGCCUACUAGGGCGUGGAUCCGUAACUGGUCAGAGAGGAAGGUCAGCAACACUGGGACUGAGACACGGCCCAGACUCCUACGCGAGGCAGCAGUGGGGAAUAUUGGACAGUGGGCGAAAGCCUGAUGCAGCAAGGCCGCGUGAGUUAUGAAGUCCGGAGGGUUGUAAAGCGCUUUUACCCGGGAUGAUAAUGACAGUACCGGGAGAAUAAGCCCCGGCUAACUCCGUG